Ricinus communis (castor bean) is the source of this 2241-nucleotide long non-coding RNA. RefSeq lists it as uncharacterized. The transcript is spliced from 2 exons. The record is from RefSeq and is a predicted model, not a curated record. Lineage: Eukaryota; Viridiplantae; Streptophyta; Magnoliopsida; Malpighiales; Euphorbiaceae.
UAAUCAAACGGCUAUGGACAAUUCAUCUGUACCCUACAACCAAUCAUCGAGAGGUACAUAUUGAUAACGUUAGAUGGACCCUUCACAGCUCUAUGCAUUACUAUUGACAAGGUGGAGCGGUCGGUAGCAUCUGAAAAGGAGUUUAAAGGAGAAGAAAAACAACAAGAAGAAGAAAGAAACUUGAGGCAGAGGCCUCUCCUCCUAAUUAAAACAAAAGAAAGAAAGCUACUUUUUAAUCUGAAACUGAUGAUGAAUUUCGGGUCUUGUUUUGUCAUCAUUUGGGGGUUGUAAACAAAGACCAAAUUAGUUUCUCUUUAUAUAUGCUUAACCCCAACUUUCUGUUGCAGUUUCAGAUAGAGAUUAGAUGCGUGCAAUUGUGUGUGAAUUUUUGGCAUCAUAAACGAGGGAAAAGAAAAGAAACGCAAGAAAAGACUGAAGAGAGAUAGGGCUUUUCUUCUUCUUUUUUCUUUUUUCCUUUUAGUUAUCAUCAAGAACGAGGGCAAAGGGCAAGAAUAACUAUGAUGAUCAUUUGAUCCUUCUAAAUAUAUAAACCCUAUAUUGCAGAAAGAAUGAACCAUCCAAUCUUUUGGAUUUUAUUAUUAUUAAUAUUAUUUAUUUAUCUCUUUGUCUUUUUGGGUCUGAUGAAGCCAUUUCUUCUCUUCCCUUUUUUCUUUCAAUUAAUUACACCCAUCACCUCAACCUCAACCUCAACCGUCCAUUUCUCUCUCUUAUUUACUGUGCUACCUUUGUACCAUCCUCGCAUCUUAAAUAAACCCAUCUGCCCUCGUCUUUUCAUAUUCUUCUUCAGAUUUGCUAUAUUCACUUUCUUCUCUAUCCGCUCUAUCUACCUAUCUGUUCGUAUGGUGAAUACAAUAGGGACAUGGUUUCAGCUUUCAUGUGGGUCUAACAAAGGGUUUCUUACAGAGCUUAUUGGCAUUCUGUCCACCUCCUUUAUCAAUAGAACAAUUUCUCUCUUUUAUUUUCCCUGUCAUAUAUGCAUAUUUACAUAUUUAUAUGGAGGUGGGCAUACUGCCAACUGAGCUCUGUUGGUCUCUCUUUGUAAAACCCUCGUGAUUUAUCCUUCACUUGUCUCCUCCUUUUAUUUUUUGUUUUCCUAUUCUGCAAGGAAGAUCAAGGUGCUGCUCGUAUGAUGAUUUUCUUUUAUACUUCGUGUAUAUCGCUUCUGAUCUAGGGUUUUAAGUAGUCUUUUCUUUUCCAAUAACAAAAUCCCUUUAAGCUAGGGAAUUAGGGCUCGAGAUUGAAGGUACAAAUUCAUGGAGUGAAAUUGCUCCACAAGGAGAACAUGUAAGAUAGAUUAUACCAACUACCAUGGCAUGUAAGAGAGAUUAUACCAACUACCAUGGUUCCAUUAGAAGGGUUCCUUUUGAUUGAAGCUGUUAACUUGUAAUCAUGUUCAUGUUCUCUCUUCCAUCUGUAUAUACAAAAAAAAUGGUAAAGAUUAAUUACUAGAUCAAAAUUAAAGGUGGAGAUUUUGGAUGUUCAUGGCUUCAUGCAUGUCUGCCACGGUUGUUCAAAUUACUAGUUUUAAUGUAAUAAUUGUAGGGCAGGCAUGGAGGGAGUCCUUCAAUUUUAGGGCAGACCUAUCUAUCUGUAUACGUUUCUAGUUUCUACGCAGCUCUCAUAUUAUACGUAGCCUCAUGAUUGAAGACUGACACUGCUUUUUUAACUGAUGUAGAACAACAAAACCCACACCACCUCUGUAGUAGAGGAUGCAUGUCAUAUUCUGCCUCCCUUGACUAGGAAUUAGUAUGUGAUUGGAUCGUGGUAUCCACGCUGUGUAAAAGCGAUUGGAGAGAGACGAUUUGUUGGUGGGGAGAGGGGUAGGGGUAGGGAUAGGCAGAGGGGGGGAGUUUAAACUUUUUAAUAUACCUUGGUGGCUCUUCUCAAAAGUCACUUUCAUGCUAAGUAGAUUUUUAAGCUGUUUUGCCUUUCUUUUUCUUUUUUGUUCUUUUACCUUCUCUCUGGUCACUAAAAUUUAGUGUAUGAUUCUUCCAUUCCUUUUGGGUCAAAUGGGUUUUGAAUUUAGUCAUGGGUACGAUUCAGAGGAAAAGGGUAAAUAAAGUGGAUGUUGCUAAUGAUUCCAUUGGGGACCAUAUGGUGUUAAAGAGAGUGUGGGCACCUCUUUCUUCUUCUCGAAAGGAACCAUUAUUGUGUUUUCAAAGCUAACAGAAUUUAUUGAUGAGGUUUGCCUCUGUAAUAAUGAAAUUUUUUCAGGCUUCA